UACGUAGGCAGCGAGCGUUGUUCGGAGUUACUGGGCGUAAAGGGUGUGUAGGCGGUUGUUUAAGUUUGGUGUGAAAUCUCCCGGCUUAACUGGGAGGGUGCGCCGAAGACUGGAAGGCUUGAGUAUGGGAGAGGUAAGCGGAAUUCCUGGUGUAGCGGUGAAAUGCGUAGAUAUCAGGAGGAACACCUGCGGUGUAGACGGCUUACUGGACCAUCACUGACGCUGAGGCACGAAAGCGUGGGUAGCAAACAGG
RNAcentral lists this ribosomal RNA (253 nucleotides) under uncultured bacterium. RNAcentral describes it as "partial 16S ribosomal RNA". It matches the Rfam family "Bacterial small subunit ribosomal RNA", at positions 524 to 776 of the family's 1533-position model. The record is from RNAcentral.